CUCAGUUCGGAUCGGAGUCUGCAACCCGACUCCGUGAAGCUGGAUUCGCUAGUAAUCGCGCAUCAGCCAUGGCGCGGUGAAUACGUUCCCGGGCCUUGUACACACCGCCCGUCACACCAUGAGAGUCGGGAACACCCGAAGUCCGUAGUCUAACCGCAAGGGGGGCGCGGCCGAAGGUGGGUCCGGUAAUUGGGGUGAAGUCGUAACAAGGUAAC
This 215-nucleotide ribosomal RNA is filed under the name uncultured bacterium. Its description in RNAcentral is "partial 16S ribosomal RNA". It matches the Rfam family "Bacterial small subunit ribosomal RNA", at positions 1287 to 1500 of the family's 1533-position model. The record is from RNAcentral.